RNAcentral lists this ribosomal RNA (428 nucleotides) under uncultured Myxococcales bacterium. RNAcentral's name for it is "bacterial SSU rRNA". It matches the Rfam family "Bacterial small subunit ribosomal RNA", at positions 355 to 776 of the family's 1533-position model. The record is from RNAcentral. Lineage: Bacteria; Pseudomonadati; Myxococcota; Myxococcia; Myxococcales.
UGGGGAAUCUUGCGCAAUGGGGGAAACCCUGACGCAGCGACGCCGCGUGAGCGAUGAAGGCCUUCGGGUUGUAAAGCUCUGUGGGGAGGGACGAAUAAGUGUUGGCUAAUAUCCAACAUGAUGACGGUACCUCCUUAGCAAGCACCGGCUAACUCUGUGCCAGCAGCCGCGGUAAGACAGAGGGUGCAAACGUUGUUCGGAAUCACUGGGCGUAAAGCGCGUGUAGGCGGCUUGGCAAGUCGGAUGUGAAAGCCCACGGCUCAACCGUGGAAGUGCACUCGAAACUGCCAGACUAGAGUCCUGGAGAGGAAGGCGGAAUGCUAGGUGUAGAGGUGAAAUUCGUAGAUAUCUAGCGGAACACCGGUGGCGAAGGCGGCCUUCUGGACAGUGACUGACGCUGAAACGCGAAAGCGUGGGGAGCAAACAGG